Molecule: ribosomal RNA, 599 nt
Filed under: uncultured bacterium
Lineage: Bacteria
Description: bacterial SSU rRNA
Rfam family: Bacterial small subunit ribosomal RNA
Source: RNAcentral
UGCAGCGGCACCACAUGGUGACAGUUGUUAAAGCGGGGGAACAGCAAUGUCCUCGCGCCUGAAGAGGAGCCUGCGGCGGAUUAGCUAGUUGGCGGGGUAACGGCCCACCAAGGCAACGAUCCGUAGCCGGCCUGAGAGGGCGGUCGGCCACACUGGCACUGACACACGGGCCAGACUCCUACGGGAGGCAGCAGUCGGGAAUUUUGGGCAAUGGGCGAAAGCCUGACCCAGCAACGCCGCGUGAAGGAUGAAGCUUCUCGGAGUGUAAACUUCAUAAGAAUGGGACGAAUAAAGAGGGGUUAAUACCCCCUCCUAUGACGGUACCAUUUGUAAGCUCCGGCUAACUCCGUGCCAGCAGCCGCGGUAAUACGGGGGGAGCAAGCGUUGUUCGGAUUUACUGGGCGUAAAGGGCGCGUAGGCGGCGCAACAAGUCAGCUGUGAAAUCUCCGGGCUUAACCCGGAGCGGCCAGCUGAUACUGACGUGCUAGAGUGCGGAAGGGGCUACUGGAAUUCUCGGUGUAGCGGUGAAAUGCGUAGAUAUCGAGAGGAACACCUGUGGCGAAGGCGGGUAGCUGGGCCGACACUGACGCUGAGGCGCG